AGUGAACGCUGGCGGUAGGCCUAACACAUGCAAGUCGAACGGCAGCACAGUAAGAGCUUGCUCUUACGGGUGGCGAGUGGCGGACGGGUGAGGAAUACAUCGGAAUCUACUUUUUCGUGGGGGAUAACGUAGGGAAACUUACGCUAAUACCGCAUACGACCUACGGGUGAAAGCAGGGGAUCUUCGGACCUUUCGCGAUUGAAUGAGCCGAUGUCGGAUUAGCUAGUUGGCGGGGUAAAGGCCCACCCAGGCGACGAUCCGGAGCUGGUCUGAGAGGAUGAUCAGCCACACUGGAACUGAGACACGGUCCAGACGCCUACGGAAGGCAGCAGUGGGGAAUAUUGGAGAAUGGGCGCAAGCCUGAUCCAGCCAGACCGCGUGAGUGAAGAAGGACUUCGGGUUGUAAAGCCCUUUUGUUGGGAAAGAAAAGCAGCAGGUUUAUACCCCACUGUUCUGACGGUACCCAAAGAAUAAGCACCGGCUAACUUCGUG
RNAcentral lists this ribosomal RNA (492 nucleotides) under uncultured bacterium. RNAcentral describes it as "partial 16S ribosomal RNA". It matches the Rfam family "Bacterial small subunit ribosomal RNA", at positions 29 to 507 of the family's 1533-position model. The record is from RNAcentral.